Molecule: ribosomal RNA, 307 nt
Filed under: Heterorhabditis bacteriophora
Lineage: Eukaryota; Metazoa; Nematoda; Chromadorea; Rhabditida; Heterorhabditidae
Description: SSU rRNA
Rfam family: Eukaryotic small subunit ribosomal RNA
Source: RNAcentral
UUAAGGCUAAUAACAUGGCAUUAAAGCUCUGACCUCACGGAAAGAGUGCAUUUAUUUGAACAAAACCAAGCGGCUUCGGCUGUUUCUGGUCGACUCAUAGUAACUGAGCUGAUCGCACGGUCUUGUACCGGCGACGUGUCUUUCAAGUAUCUGCCGUAUCAACUUUCGAUGGUAGUGUAUCUGACUACCAUGGUGAUCACGCGUAACGGAGAAUAAGGGUUCGACUCCGGAGAGUUCGCCUGAGAAAUCGCGAACACAUCUAAGGAAGGCAGCAGGCGCGAAAAUUACCACUCUCAGCACGAGGAGG